AACUUGCCUUACAGACUGGGACAACAUUUGGAAACGAAUGCUAAUACCGGAUAUUAUGAUUGGGUCGCAUGAUCUGGUUAUGAAAGCUAUAUGCGCUGUGAGAGAGCUUUGCGUCCCAUUAGUUAGUUGGUGAGGUAACGGCUCACCAAGACGAUGAUGGGUAGCCGGCCUGAGAGGGUGAACGGCCACAAGGGGACUGAGACACGGCCCUUACUCCUACGGGAGGCAGCAGUGGGGAAUAUUGGACAAUGGACCAAAAGUCUGAUCCAGCAAUUCUGUGUGCACGAUGAAGUUUUUCGGAAUGUAAAGUGCUUUCAGUUGGGAAGAAGUCAGUGACGGUACCAACAGAAGAAGCGACGGCUAAAUACGUGCCAGCAGCCGCGGUAAUACGUAUGUCGCAAGCGUUAUCCGGAUUUAUUGGGCGUAAAGCGCGUCUAGGCGGCUUAGUAAGUCUGAUGUGAAAAUGCGGGGCUCAACCCCGUAUUGCGUUGGAAACUGCUAAACUAGAGUACUGGAGAGGUAGGCGGAACUACAAGUGUAGAGGUGAAAUUCGUAGAUAUUUGUAGGAAUGCCGAUGGGGAAGCCAGCCUACUGGACAGAUACUGACGCUAAAGCGCGAAAGCGUGGGUAGCAAACAGGAUUAGAUACCCUGGUAGUCCACGCCCUAAACGAUGUCAACUAGCUGUUGGGGCCGU
RNAcentral lists this ribosomal RNA (695 nucleotides) under uncultured bacterium. RNAcentral's name for it is "bacterial SSU rRNA". It matches the Rfam family "Bacterial small subunit ribosomal RNA", at positions 123 to 832 of the family's 1533-position model. The record is from RNAcentral.